UUCUGCUUCCUGUCUUCCACUGUCCACCAUCCAUCC
This 36-nucleotide small RNA is filed under the name Arabidopsis thaliana (thale cress). RNAcentral describes it as "ATSL040850". Lineage: Eukaryota; Viridiplantae; Streptophyta; Magnoliopsida; Brassicales; Brassicaceae. The record is from RNAcentral.